CUCGGCAACGGAUAUCUCGGCUCUCGCAUCGAUGAAGAACGUAGCGAAAUGUGAUACUUGGUGUGAAUUGCAGAACCCCGUGAACCAUCGAGUCUUUGAACGCAAGUUGCGCCCGAAGCCAUUAGGCUGAGGGCACGUCUGCCUGGGCGUCACGC
Molecule: ribosomal RNA, 155 nt
Filed under: Origanum onites
Lineage: Eukaryota; Viridiplantae; Streptophyta; Magnoliopsida; Lamiales; Lamiaceae
Description: 5.8S ribosomal RNA
Rfam family: 5.8S ribosomal RNA
About the family: 5.8S ribosomal RNA (5.8S rRNA) is a component of the large subunit of the eukaryotic ribosome. It is transcribed by RNA polymerase I as part of the 45S precursor that also contains 18S and 28S rRNA.
Source: RNAcentral